AUUCGGGUUUCCAGGAUCACGUGUGAGCUUAAAGGAUUGGUGCUCCUCAGAAGCUACCAACUUCCUUUCCUGUAGUACGCCAAGGUAAUUGCAGCANNNNNNNNNNNNNNNNNNNNNNNNNNNNNNNNNNNNAUAUAUAUAUAUAUAUUUUUUGUAUCCUUAAAGUUUCUUUUCACCACUAAAAGUGUACAUAUUUAUUUAUUUAUUUGAUUUGAUUGUAUAACUUAAUAUGGUUAACUGUAUAAUGCAAUUACUGAGAAACUAUUGUUUUUUGAGGGGAAGAUUGUGCAUAACCAUCUCAUGUUUCGUUUCUACACACCACCUCGGCCACAACAUCACCGCUAUACAUCUGUCUAUCUGUCACACCCCAAAACCGGAACGGCGGAAACGUUCUGGGGUGGAUGACGUCAUGUCAAGUAUCACAACACAUGCAUUAUAGUAAUCAAAGUACAACAAAACAUUGCAUUAAUAGUAAUAGUUUUACAUGGUUACAUUAAUACAUCAAAGUAAUACAAGUAAUAGAAUAAAUACAGCGCGGUACUAAGCUAUCUUCAUCAACAGCUCCGGGGAUGUACCUGUCUAAUGCUAACCUGAGAAUACAAGUUAUUUGAAAAGCGAGUAUCAGCAUUUUUACAAAUGCUGGUGAGUUCAUAAGCAUUUAGUGACAUUUCAUUCAAAUAACUUAAUAAAGUAAUAGUUUAAGAGAUUUCAGUGUAUUAGAGUCCUUUCCAGAAAAUCCUAUAUUUUCUUUAAUCAAAGCAGCCUUCUACCAAGACUGGUCAGUGUUAUGUGGUAAAAAGUGGUUUUCCCUUAAUUGCUAUCAUUAUCAAAAUACUGAAUUUGAUUAUUAAAGAAAGCAAGAGACAACAGGGAAAUAACAUAUGCCUCAGCAGUGAGGACUGCUGACUAAGGCAAAGGAAUCAUAGACUCCAGGAGAGUAUCGAACGAACGACACGCCUGGUUCCGUCUAACAAAUGGAGACACAGACCCCAGAAGGUACCAAAUGAAAGGUACAGCUGGUAAGGUCUAAAACAGUGAAUACAGACCGCAGACAGUAUCAAAUGAAAGAUACAUCUUACAAGGUCAAAACAGAGAAUACAGACCCCAGACAGUAUCAAAUGAAAGAUACGUCUUGUAAGGUCAAAACAGAGAAAACAGACCCCAAACAGUAUCAAAUGAAAGAUACGUCUUGUAAGGUCAAAACAGAGGAGACAGACCCCAGACAGUAUCAAAUGAAAGAUACGUCUUGUAAGGUCAAAACAGUGUGACUCUGAAAUUGAAUUACCAGCAUACAGUGUAAAUUGCUGGCGAAAUACCGUUACCUUAAGGCCAUGAAUUAUAAGGUAACCCGGGAUACUCGUAACCAUACUAACCGACACUAGAGUACCAGACGCCCUACAAGCGUCUAUAUAAUGUGACAUUUGUCACCCCUUGGCUUGGUGAGCCGUGGACUGUAGCUAGCAGUCAGGGUGCGGGGGUGUCAAUCCCGUAUAGAUCUAUACACACAAUGUCCGCUCUCCCUACAGGAGACUCUGGUUACCAACUAGACGACGGAGAAGGCCGUGUCCUGAAGAUGCAUCCCAAAUAGUGGGUAGAGACUUCCAACUAGUGGGUUUCUAAUGUAAGUGCUGAACUAGAGGUAGAGACUCUUAACUGAAUUGACUGAAGUAAACCCAUAUGUCUAUGCUUGUGUACAUAAUAUAUAACUAAUGAAUCAAACGACCUUCGGAUGGACAUCCGAUCCCACCAGACCACAUCUCAACGAAGAAAAGGAAAUAGGGCGGACAAGCCUUCCUAAGUCCUUCAAUCAUUAUUUAUAUGCAUCUAUACAAGCACAAACAUACAUCUAACUACGCAUGAGUGUGUAUCAAGUGGUAUCAUACAGUGAAGUAUAAGUGUACAGUGGAACAUUCGAGUCGUGAAGUAUAAGCGUACAGUGGAGUAUCCAAGUCGUGAAGUAUAAGCGUAUAGUGGAACAUCCGAGUCGUGAAGUAUAAGCGUACAGAGUGGGAUAAUCGAAUCGUGAAGUAUAAGUGUACCAAGUGUAAGUGUAUCACGAAGUGGAAACGACGAUAAGUGAAGUAAGAGCGUCUAUCAAGUAUAAGCGACUACAAGUAUAAGCGAAAUAGAGACAAUACCAAGUAUAAACGCAUCACAAAGUGAAAGCGUUAUCGAGUAGGAGUUUAAAAAUAAGUAUAAGUGAAACAGCAGUAACUAACAAGUAAAAGUAUACCUGAAAACCUUGGAAAAACCUUUAUACUCAGGAAAAUUGCGUUUGUAUUUUUUUUGGUAAAAUAAGUGUAAAAACCUUUAGAAAUCUUUGGGAAUCUUUCACAAAUUAGUUUGAAAAUGGAACUUUGAUAAAGCAAUAAAAGUAAGAACUUGAACAAGUGAAAACCCUUUUUGAAAGCCAUUUAUAGUGUCCUACUCGGUAAAACAGUGUACAGUGGUAAAAUCUUGUGCAUGCGGGUUAUCAAUCACAUGUGAUUGAUAUGAUAACUGGCAUGUUUAACUUGGAUUCCCCCCCCCCCCUAUAAAAACAUGUUAAAACAUUUAAAAGGUUCAUUCAGGGGUAUGAACUCACCUGGUGUAAGUAGGUCCGACGAAAGUGUCGUUUGGGUUUUCGGUGUCACGCAAGGACUCGAUGACACACAAUGACCUAUUUAACAUAUGAUAACAUAUGUUCACAUACAAUUAGCAUAUAUAAUACUAAUUAAACACAUAUACGCGCUCACAGGAGCGGAAAACACUUUGGCUAAGUGUUUGGGUGUCCCGGGUAGCGUUUAAGGGUGUCAAUGGCUAAGGAAUCGAGCUUACUAUCCAAGAGUACACUCCCAAUGUUGAGUUUACGGCCCAGGGACAUCUCACCAUGAGUUUACGGCCGUAAACUCAUGGUGAUGGGUUCUAGGGUGUUUAAAGGUUCUACUAGCAUCAUAGAAUUAUUCCAAGCACUUUUCCUAAAAGGCAUGAAUGGGUUUAAGGCUUCUAAGGUCACUUUAUAGGAGUUUACGGCCUAGAGACACUCCUAUGGGAGUUUACAGCCGUAAACUCUCAAUCUUUGAGUUACGUGAAGUUUUAAGCCCCUAUUACCUUUCUAGCAAUUUCUAAUGAAGUGUGAUGCUAUUUUGGGGGUUUAAAUCUAACAUUUGGAUGUGUUUUGGGGAGUUUACGGCCUAGACUCUUGCUUGGGCCGUAAACUCCUUUUUACCCCUCUAUUUCAUGUGAUUAAGUCCUUAAAUCCUUCAUAGCAUUUUAUAGAAAUAGUCUAGGGUCAUUUGGGGGGCAAAAACUACUUUUUGGGCAUGUUUUGGGGAGUUUACGGCCUUGGUAUAGACCUGGGCCAUAAACUCAUUUUUAUCCUUCAUUUUGAUGUGUUUAAGUGAUCAAAACCCAAAGGAAUAAGCCCUUAAUUUAUGUGUUAAGCCCUAGUGUGGUUUGGGAGUGUUUUGGAGGCAUUUUAACAAGGUUUUGAGGGGUUUACGGCCUAAGCUUGUGCUUGGGCCGUAAACUCUCUUUUACCCCCUAAUUCCAUGAGUUUUAAUGUUUAAACACUCCUAGGCUAAUACCUCAAUUUAUUUCCUAGCCAUUAGGGACAAGUUUGGGUCAUUUUGGCCUCAUUUUAGGUGUUUACGGCCUAAGCAGGAGCUUAGGCCGUAAACUCCUUUUCCAUUGCUUCUAAGUCCAAAUUUUGGGCUAUAAAAACCAAUCAAUAUGUUUAGAAUAAGCUAGGGUAAGCGGACUUACAAUUUGGAAGCGUUUGGUUGCGGAUUCGGGGCGAAAACGAGUCUAGAGAGAGAGUAUAGAGAGAGAGUGUAAAAAGUCUCCAAUGGGCUCCACUCACCCUUAUAUAGGGUUCCGGGUCGGGGCUCAGUGGAAUUCUACCCAAUACUGCCGUUAAACGGGGCUUUUGGUCGCACCCGAUUUACUGGUCGUAAUAAUAAAACUUAACAUUUUCCAAAUAAAUGGAAAUGUGUGUCCCGUGUUAUUAUUUCCUUUUAUCACGACUUAACGGCAUGUUAAAGGUAACCAAAUGGAAUGUUUAUUAAAUUGACGCCCUCUAAUUAACGGAACUUUUAUAAAGUGGAAUAUUCCAUUAACGGUAACGGGGAAAUGUAACGGGGAAACUUGGGUUGUCACACUAUCCGAAUUCGAUAACGGUCAGAUUUAGGGCUUCUCAAUAAGAACCCAGAUAAACACAAACUUUGUAAUUUAGUUCACAGCUAUGCCAACUUUACUCUAUUCUUCUGAUUUUUGUUUUUCGAAAACCUUGAAAUCAUUGACCAUCGCCCGACUAUUGAUUUUGGUUUUUAUUGUUUUGGUUUACACUUUUGCACGCCAGGUGUUUGCUGUUUUGCCUCCUCGGCGUGGAUAUUUUCUAGGUUGUGUGCUCUGCUUUGAUAAUAGUUGGGGGUAAAUAAGAAACAUGAUCCACUGAUCAGAUGGUAUAAAGAUUAAAUCUUUUGUUUUUAUUUUUUCUUUAUUAGACUCUAUGUUCACAACUAAUAACAAAUUAAUCUAAAAUGCACAGUGCAAUAGAAUGCAAGAAAUCCAGAGAACAACGCUGCAAUGAGCAAGCCAUAAAAAUAUUCAUUAGCAGAGGGUAAGUAACUGUAACAAAAACAUUUUCUAGUGUAUACUUAGAUCCUACAUGCGGUUAAAAUCAUAAUUUCCGGUGCAGAUUUCAAGAAAAGGAGGCAUUUAUGGAUCAUAUUUGGGAAUUCCAAGUUUCAAUGGUGUUUUCAAUGUUGAUGUACGGGGGAAAUUGUGUAAUUUGGGAACGAAUAUCAGGAUGAUUGAAGGAAUAUGUGACUGCAAUUUAGGGACUAAUUAUGUUGUAGUAUUUGGUUUACUUCCUCGGAUUCACUCAUUUCUCUUUACUAACCUCAUAUCAGUUAAGUUGUUGCAUUCUU
This 4910-nucleotide long non-coding RNA is filed under the name Lactuca sativa (garden lettuce). Its description in RNAcentral is "long non-coding RNA (LSAT_LNC000447)". Lineage: Eukaryota; Viridiplantae; Streptophyta; Magnoliopsida; Asterales; Asteraceae. The record is from RNAcentral.